This 479-nucleotide ribosomal RNA is filed under the name uncultured bacterium. RNAcentral describes it as "partial 16S ribosomal RNA". It matches the Rfam family "Bacterial small subunit ribosomal RNA", at positions 28 to 507 of the family's 1533-position model. The record is from RNAcentral.
GAUGAACGCUGGCGGCGUGCUUAACACAUGCAAGUCGAGCGAGAAGUUUUGAAAAGAUUCUUCGGAUGAAAUUUAAAAUGGAAAGCGGCGGACGGGUGAGUAACGCGUAGGCAACCUGCCCCAUACAAAGGGAUAGCAUUUGGAAACGAAUAUUAAUACCUUAUGAAACUUAACUAGUGCAUGCUAGGUAGGUCAAAGAUUUAUCGGUAUGGGAUGGGCCUGCGUCUGAUUAGCUAGUUGGUGAGGUAACGGCUCACCAAGGCGACGAUCAGUAGCCGACCUGAGAGGGUGAGCGGCCACAUUGGAACUGAGACACGGUCCAAACUCCUACGGGAGGCAGCAGUGGGGAAUAUUGCACAAUGGGGGAAACCCUGAUGCAGCAACGCCGCGUGAACGAUGAAGGCCUUUGGGGCGUAAAGUUCUGUUCUAGGUGAUGAAAACUGACAGUAACCUAGGAGAAAGCCCCGGCUAACUCCGUG